UGGAAAACGGGUGGUAAUGCCGGAUGUUCCACAUGAGCGCAUGCGAGUGUGGGAAAGGCUUUUUGCGGCAUGGGAUGGGGUCGCGUCCUAUCAGCUUGUUGGUGGGGUAACGGCCUACCAAGGCGUUGACGGGUAGCCGGCCUGAGAGGGCGACCGGCCACAUUGGGACUGAGAUACGGCCCAGACUCCUACGGGAGGCAGCAGUGGGGAAUAUUGCACAAUGGGCGCAAGCCUGAUGCAGCGACGCCGCGUGCGGGAUGGAGGCCUUCGGGUUGUAAACCGCUUUUGUUCAAGGGCAAGGCACGGUCUUUGGCCGUGUUGAGUGGAUUGUUCGAAUAAGCACCGGCUAACUACGUGCCAGCAGCCGCGGUAAUACGUAGGGUGCAAGCGUUAUCCGGAUUUAUUGGGCGUAAAGGGCUCGUAGGCGGUUCGUCGCGUCCGGUGUGAAAGUCCAUCGCUUAACGGUGGAUCCGCGCCGGGUACGGGCGGGCUUGAGUGCGGUAGGGGAGACUGGAAUUCCCGGUGUAACGGUGGAAUGUGUAGAUAUCGGAAAGAACACCA
Molecule: ribosomal RNA, 561 nt
Filed under: Bifidobacterium pseudolongum subsp. globosum
Lineage: Bacteria; Bacillati; Actinomycetota; Actinomycetes; Bifidobacteriales; Bifidobacteriaceae
Description: bacterial SSU rRNA
Rfam family: Bacterial small subunit ribosomal RNA
Source: RNAcentral